RNAcentral lists this ribosomal RNA (255 nucleotides) under uncultured bacterium. RNAcentral's name for it is "partial 16S ribosomal RNA". It matches the Rfam family "Bacterial small subunit ribosomal RNA", at positions 524 to 776 of the family's 1533-position model. The record is from RNAcentral.
UACGUAGGGUGCAAGCGUUAAUCGGAAUUACUGGGCGUAAAGCGUGCGCAGGCGGUUUUGUAAGUCAGAUGUGAAAUCCCCGGGCUUAACCUGGGAACUGCGUUUGAAACUACAAGGCUAGAGUGUGGCAGAGGGGGGGUGGAAUUCCACGUGUAGCAGUGAAAUGCGUAGAGAUGUGGAGGAACACCGAUGGCGAAGGCAGCCCCCUGGGCUAGCACUGACGCCUCAGGCACGAAAGCGUGGGGAGCAAACAGG